This 427-nucleotide ribosomal RNA is filed under the name uncultured Desulfovibrionaceae bacterium. RNAcentral describes it as "partial 16S ribosomal RNA". It matches the Rfam family "Bacterial small subunit ribosomal RNA", at positions 355 to 774 of the family's 1533-position model. The record is from RNAcentral. Lineage: Bacteria; Pseudomonadati; Thermodesulfobacteriota; Desulfovibrionia; Desulfovibrionales; Desulfovibrionaceae.
UGGGGAAUAUUGCGCAAUGGGCGAAAGCCUGACGCAGCGACGCCGCGUGAGGGAUGAAGGGCUUCGGUUCGUAAACCUCUGUCAGGGGAGAAGAAGUGUGAUCGUGCUAAUCAGCGGUCAUUUGACGGUACCCCCAAAGGAAGCACCGGCUAACUCCGUGCCAGCAGCCGCGGUAAUACGGAGGGUGCAAGCGUUAAUCGGAAUCACUGGGCGUAAAGCGCAUGUAGGCUGCUCUGUAAGUCAGAGGUGAAAGCCCACGGCUCAACCGUGGAACUGCCUUUGAUACUGUGGAGCUUGAGUCUGUGAGAGGGUAGUGGAAUUCCAGGUGUAGGGGUGAAAUCCGUAGAGAUCUGGAGGAACAUCAGUGGCGAAGGCGACUACCUGGUGCAGUACUGACGCUGAGAUGCGAAAGCGUGGGGAUCAAACA